This 77-nucleotide transfer RNA is filed under the name bacterium. Its description in RNAcentral is "tRNA-Val". It matches the Rfam family "tRNA". From Rfam's summary of the family: Transfer RNA (tRNA) molecules are approximately 80 nucleotides in length. Their secondary structure includes four short double-helical elements and three loops (D, anti-codon, and T loops). Further hydrogen bonds mediate the characteristic L-shaped molecular structure. tRNAs have two regions of fundamental functional importance: the anti-codon, which is responsible for specific mRNA codon recognition, and the 3' end, to which the tRNAs corresponding amino acid is attached (by aminoacyl-tRNA synthetases). tRNAs cope with the degeneracy of the genetic code in two manners: having more than one tRNA (with a specific anti-codon) for a particular amino acid; and 'wobble' base-pairing, i.e. permitting non-standard base-pairing at the 3rd anti-codon position. The record is from RNAcentral. RNAcentral also lists the same sequence under 3 other names.
GGGCGGUUAGCUCAGUAGGUCAGAGCGCUGGUCUCACAUACCAGAGGUCGGAGGUUCGACUCCUCCACCGCCUACCA